RNAcentral lists this ribosomal RNA (257 nucleotides) under uncultured bacterium. RNAcentral's name for it is "partial 16S ribosomal RNA". It matches the Rfam family "Bacterial small subunit ribosomal RNA", at positions 524 to 776 of the family's 1533-position model. The record is from RNAcentral.
UACAGAGACAUCAAGCGUUAUCCGGAAUCAUUGGGCGUAAAGCGUACCGAUAGGUGGUUGAAAUAGUCUUGGGUAAAAGCCGGAAGCUCAACUUCCGCGUUUGCUUAAGAUACUUUUCGGCUAGAGGGGCAAAGAGGUGCUUGGAACCAACGGUGUAGUAGUGAAAUGCGUUGAUAUCGUUGGGAACACCGAAAGCGAAGGCAGAGCACUGGGUGCCACCUGACACUGCUAGGACGAAAGCGUGGGGAGCGAACAGG